AGGGGUAUAGCUCAGUAGUAGAACAUGUGCUUAACAUGUACAAAGGUCCUGGGUUCAAUCCCUGGUACCUCCA
RNAcentral lists this transfer RNA (73 nucleotides) under Camelus bactrianus (Bactrian camel). It matches the Rfam family "tRNA". From Rfam's summary of the family: Transfer RNA (tRNA) molecules are approximately 80 nucleotides in length. Their secondary structure includes four short double-helical elements and three loops (D, anti-codon, and T loops). The record is from Rfam by way of RNAcentral. RNAcentral also lists the same sequence under 2 other names. Lineage: Eukaryota; Metazoa; Chordata; Mammalia; Artiodactyla; Camelidae.